This 253-nucleotide ribosomal RNA is filed under the name uncultured bacterium. RNAcentral describes it as "partial 16S ribosomal RNA". It matches the Rfam family "Bacterial small subunit ribosomal RNA", at positions 524 to 776 of the family's 1533-position model. The record is from RNAcentral.
UACGAAGGGGGCUAGCGUUGCUCGGAAUCACUGGGCGUAAAGCGCACGUAAGCGGCGUCUUAAGUCAGUGGUGAAAUCCUGGAGCUCAACUCCAGAACUGCCUCUGAUACUGAGAUGCUUGAGUCCGGGAGAGGUGAGUGGAACUGCGAGUGUAGAGGUGAAAUUCGUAGAUAUUCGCAAGAACACCAGUGGCGAAGGCGGCUCACUGGCCCGGUACUGACGCUGAGGUGCGAAAGCGUGGGGAGCAAACAGG